This 253-nucleotide ribosomal RNA is filed under the name uncultured bacterium. RNAcentral's name for it is "partial 16S ribosomal RNA". It matches the Rfam family "Bacterial small subunit ribosomal RNA", at positions 524 to 776 of the family's 1533-position model. The record is from RNAcentral.
GACAGAGGGGGCAAGCGUUGCUCGGAAUUACUGGGCGUAAAGGGCGCGUAGGCGGGAUGGCAAGUCGGUCGUGAAAUCCCUCGGCUCAACCGAGGAACGUCGAUCGAUACUGCUGUUCUUGAGGAUUGCAGAGGAGACUGGAAUUCCCGGUGUAGCGGUGAAAUGCGUAGAGAUCGGGUGGAACACCAGCGGCGAAGGCGGCAUCCUGGCCCUGUACUGACGCUGAGGCGCGAUAGCGUGGGGAGCAAACGGG